CGCUGGCGGCGUGCCUAAUACAUGCAAGUCGAACGCACUCUCGUUUAGAUUGAAGGAGCUUGCUCCUGAUUGAUAAACAUUUGAGUGAGUGGCGGACGGGUGAGUAACACGUGGGUAACCUGCCCUAAAGUGGGGGAUAACAUUUGGAAACAGAUGCUAAUACCGCAUAAAACCUAACACCGCAUGGUGUAGGGUUGAAAGAUGGUUUCGGCUAUCACUUUAGGAUGGACCCGCGGUGCAUUAGUUAGUUGGUGAGGUAAAGGCUCACCAAGACCGUGAUGCAUAGCCGACCUGAGAGGGUAAUCGGCCACACUGGGACUGAGACACGGCCCAGGCUCCUACGGGAGGCAGCAGUAGGGAAUCUUCCACAAUGGACGAAAGUCUGAUGGAGCAACGCCGCGUGAGUGAAGAAGGUUUUCGGAUCGUAAAACUCUGUUGUUGGAGAAGAAUGUAUCUGAUAGUAACUGAUCAGGUAGUGACGGUAUCCAACCAGAAAGCCACGGCUAACUACGUG
Molecule: ribosomal RNA, 514 nt
Filed under: uncultured bacterium
Lineage: Bacteria
Description: bacterial SSU rRNA
Rfam family: Bacterial small subunit ribosomal RNA
Source: RNAcentral